GACGAACGCUGGCGGCGUGCUUAACACAUGCAAGUCGAACGGAGUGGCGAACGGGUGAGUAACACGUGGGUGAGCUGCCCUGCACUUCGGGAUAACCCUGGGAAACUGGUUCUAAUACCUGCUAGUGUGGGAUGGGCCCGCGGCCUAUCAGCUUGUUGGUGGGGGAAUGGCCUACCAAGGCGGCGACGGGUACCCGGCCGGAGAGGGGGGACGGCCACAGUGGGACUGAGACACGGCCCAGACUCCUACGGGAGGCAGCAGGGGAGAAGAUUGCACAAUGAGCGGAAGCCUGAUGCAGCGACGCCGGGGGGGGGAUGACGGCCUGCGGGUUGUAAACUCCUUUCAGCAUCGACGCGGUAGAUGGAGAAGAAGCACCGGCUAACUACGUGCCAGCAGCCGCGGUAAUAC
This 408-nucleotide ribosomal RNA is filed under the name uncultured bacterium. RNAcentral's name for it is "partial 16S ribosomal RNA". It matches the Rfam family "Bacterial small subunit ribosomal RNA", at positions 28 to 526 of the family's 1533-position model. The record is from RNAcentral.